RNAcentral lists this ribosomal RNA (468 nucleotides) under uncultured bacterium. RNAcentral's name for it is "partial 16S ribosomal RNA". It matches the Rfam family "Bacterial small subunit ribosomal RNA", at positions 28 to 507 of the family's 1533-position model. The record is from RNAcentral.
GACGAACGCUGGCGGCGUGCUUAACACAUGCAAGUCGAACGGAAAGGCCCUGCUUUUGUGGGGUGCUCGAGUGGCGAACGGGUGAGUAACACGUGAGUAACCUGCCCUUGACUUUGGGAUAACUUCAGGAAACUGGGGCUAAUACCGGAUAGGAGCUCCUGCUGCAUGGUGGGGGUUGGAAAGUUUCGGCGGUUGGGGAUGGACUCGCGGCUUAUCAGCUUGUUGGUGGGGUAGUGGCUUACCAAGGCUUUGACGGGUAGCCGGCCUGAGAGGGUGACCGGCCACAUUGGGUCUGAGCUGCGGCCCAGACUCCUACGGGAGGCAGCAGUGGGGAAUAUUGCACAAUGGGCGGAAGCCUGAUGCAGCAACGCCGCGUGCGGGAUGACGGCCUUCGGGUUGUAAACCGCUUUCGCCUGUGACGAAGCGUGAGUGACGGUAAUGGGUAAAGAAGCACCGGCUAACUACGUG